This is a long non-coding RNA of Pseudopipra pipra, 734 nucleotides long. RefSeq lists it as uncharacterized. The transcript has 2 exons. The record is from RefSeq and is a predicted model, not a curated record. NCBI's taxonomy places the organism in Eukaryota, Metazoa, Chordata, Aves, Passeriformes, Pipridae.
AGGGCCAGCGGGGCAGGUGCGGGCGGUUGUGUGUGAGGGCUGAGGGUGCGGCCCCGCUGCUGCCCGGGCUGCGGAGGGGAGAGCGCCUUGGCCGCUGGUUGUGCCCUCCCUGGGGCUCAGCUCAGGUCCGUGCCCAGCGGCUGGUGGAGUGUGGCGAGUUGUGCUUCCUGCCGGGCGGGAGCUGCCUUGGGAAGCUGCUCUGUCCCCACGGCUGUGCCGAGCUGGGAGCUUGGACAGGGAAGGGCAGGGCCCGUCCUGCCGGUGAGAAUUGGGUUGGGCUGGGGGAGGAUGGAAUGGAGUGUGUGCCUGUUAACUCCACGGAGAGCCAAAAGCUGGGAGGGACCCUGAGCAGGUUUGGUGCCAUGAGAGCAGCUUCAAAAGACCUUGAGUGUUGGAGAAAUAUCCAGGAGAACUGGUUUCCUUUUUGCAAGGACAGGGGGGUUGCUGUGCUCUCUAGCAAAAAAAGGUUUCCUUGCUCUCUCAGCAGGAUGUCGAGUGCCACUGUGUCCCUGAGGUCACCCUUUCUCCCGCUGGGAGAGCACGAGGCAGAUGGAAAGGAUCCCCAGACAUCUACAGGAACAAGGAACUUGUAUGACUCCAGCUUGCCUACAGCAGUUGUAGGAUGGACUUUCAAAGUACCAUUGGGAACGUGCCAGCACUCUCCUACUGGAGUUUUUUUAUGCUGUAUUUGAACAGAAAGAGUAAAACUAAAGUCAGGUCUGUUCUGGAGUGUG